AGAACGAACGCUGGCGGCAUGCCUAACACAUGCAAGUCGAACGAGACCUUCGGGUCUAGUGGCGCACGGGUGCGUAACGCGUGGGAAUCUGCCCUUAGGUACGGAAUAACAGUGAGGAAUUACUGCUAAUACCGUAUGAUGUCUUCGGACCAAAGAUUUAUCGCCUAGGGAUGAGCCCGCGUUGGAUUAGCUAGUUGGUGGGGUAAAGGCCUACCAAGGCGACGAUCCAUAGCUGGUCUGAGAGGAUGAUCAGCCACACUGGGACUGAGACACGGCCCAGACUCCUACGGGAGGCAGCAGUGGGGAAUAUUGGACAAUGGGCGAAAGCCUGAUCCAGCAAUGCCGCGUGAGUGAAGAAGGCCUUCGGGUUGUAAAGCUCUUUUACCCGGGAAGAUAAUGACUGUACCGGGAGAAUAAGCCCCGGCUAACUCCGUGCCAGCAGCCGC
Molecule: ribosomal RNA, 446 nt
Filed under: uncultured bacterium
Lineage: Bacteria
Description: SSU rRNA
Rfam family: Bacterial small subunit ribosomal RNA
Source: RNAcentral